AUCGCAUCGCCGUGGCGCGGUCAGGGCGAUGGCGUCCCAUGAUCAGGCGGGCAGGGCGCGCGUCGUGAGGCGGAGAGAGGUGGCGCGCAGGUCGAUCCGAUGAGGAUGCAGGGUCGGGGCUGAUCUCGUCCAAAGUUUGUUUGGAUCGCAGGAACGGGAGAUCGAGAGCCGAAAGAGAAAUCGCGCGUUGGCCGUGACAAGACACGCAGGGAGCGAGACGAGGGGGGCGUGAACGACCACAUCAUCUAUGUAUGUAUGUAUAGACUAGAGAACAAAUCCUACGUGAUAGUUCAAGGAGAGUGACAAGAAGCAAACUUACAUGUUAUUGGGAGAUGGCACAUCUUCACAACCCGACGCUAGUACUCCCAUGACUAUGACUGCGGCACCAAAGAAGAUGACUCCCAAGAGAAAGCUACGCAUCGAAUGAAUUUUUUUUAGUGUUUGAUGAGAUGUAAACUCGUGUUUUAUUCAUGCACCUUGGAUUAUUGUCUUAUAACAUGUGGUUGUGAUUGCUACAAAUUGUGGAUUUAUUAGAUGAUCUCGUUUGUGUUAUAAUCAUGGUUGAAUCUAUGACUUGGAUCUA
Sorghum bicolor (sorghum) is the source of this 583-nucleotide long non-coding RNA. RefSeq lists it as uncharacterized. The transcript is spliced from 2 exons. NCBI's taxonomy places the organism in Eukaryota, Viridiplantae, Streptophyta, Magnoliopsida, Poales, Poaceae. The record is from RefSeq and is a predicted model, not a curated record.